Molecule: non-coding RNA, 30 nt
Filed under: Gallus gallus (chicken)
Lineage: Eukaryota; Metazoa; Chordata; Aves; Galliformes; Phasianidae
Also listed under: 2 other names
Source: RNAcentral
CACCGCCGCGGCCCGGGUUCGAUUCCCGGU